CUGGGGGCAUACUUGUGCACACUUGAGUUUUUAAACUUCAGAGUCCAGUUAUAAUAGGAGAGAGGUUUUUUUAUUCUCCACAGAAAGGCAUUCAGUUGAAGGCACUGCUGUUAAAAUAUUGCACUCUUUUUGUUCAACGUUAAUAAAAGUAACCUGCUGCUUGUCUCCUUCUGUUUGCCAUGUUUCUCUCUCUCUCAUCACUGGCAGCAAAUUCCUCAGCUCCAGUUGGAUUCUGCCUGCCUGUCCUGUCGUGUGCAAAACACAGGUGUGGGGGGCAAGCAGAGAGGUAAGGUAGUAAAAAAACAUCACAGCGGUGGAAAUAAUACACUGGAAGGCAGAGAAAAGCUGCAGCUUCUUUAAAUUCACCCAUGCAAAACCAGCAUAUUGCAGCAGUGCUGGGGAACAUUUAAGGUAUGCAAGCACUUUUGGUUUGUGCAUACUACAGUAUAUUUGCCAGCCCAGUUGUUGAUGUGCAUUAGAAAAACACACGAAUCAGCAAGCAUACCAUGGUAUCAGCAGAAACCAGCCAAGGACAGCAGAACAAAGCUGAAGAGGUGGUGUGCCUGUGAUUAACUUUCAAGCAUGGCAACUGAAGCCUAAUUAACAUUAUUACAGUGUCCUGAGAGGGUCUUUGAGAGCCUUAGUCUAGCCUGAGGAUAUGCAAUGAAAUGACUUAUGGCUGAUCCACUCUGCAAUGCUGGAUGAAGAUAUUCACUGGGUUUUUGUCAUUUCAAUUUGCACUACUUGUUUCUGCCUACUCGGUGCCCCCCUUUUUUCUUCUCCAACAGCAUCUGGACACCCUGAUCCAUGCCGUCUGCCCUGUGGGCUCUCCGCAGUGCACAGCCCGCAAGCAGUAGCUGACCGGACAGCCGCGAGUGGCCUCACCACACACCAGCCCCACCUGCGCGUUUUACAGCGUUCAGCAGAUGGAAGAAAAUGACCUCAGAAAGACCGAAAAGAAAAC
Molecule: long non-coding RNA, 964 nt
Filed under: Lepisosteus oculatus (spotted gar)
Lineage: Eukaryota; Metazoa; Chordata; Actinopteri; Semionotiformes; Lepisosteidae
Description: lncRNA (ENSLOCG00000021314.1)
Source: RNAcentral